AGGAAUUUUGGACAAUGGGGGAAACCCUGAUCCAGCGACGCCACGUGAGGGACGACGGUCUUCGGAUUGUAAACCUCUUUUGUUGGGGAAUAACAGACCCGUGGAAACACGGGGCUUGAAUGUACCCGACGAAUAAGCCACGGCUAACUUCGUGCCAGCAGCCGCGGUAAUACGAAGGUGGCAAGCGUUACUCGGAAUUACUAGGCGUAAAGGGCAGGUAGGUGGUUUGAUAAGUCUGUUGUGAAAGCUCCCGGCUCAACUGGGAGAGGCCAACAGAAACUAUCAGGCUUGAGUAUGGGAGAGGGUACUGGAAUUCCUGGUGUAGCGGUGAAAUGCGCAGAUAUCAGGAGGAACACCGAUGGCGAAAGCAGGUACCUGGACCAUUACUGACACUCAGCUGCGAAAGCUAGGGGAGCAAAC
Molecule: ribosomal RNA, 420 nt
Filed under: uncultured bacterium
Lineage: Bacteria
Description: bacterial SSU rRNA
Rfam family: Bacterial small subunit ribosomal RNA
Source: RNAcentral